GUGUCAGCAGCCGCGGUAAAACGUAGGACACGAGCGUUAUCCGGAGUUACUGGGCGUAAAGGGCGUUUAGGCGGGUGACUAAGUUCGCUAUGAAAGCGCCGGGCUAAACCCGGCGAGGCUGGCGGAUACUGGUGAUCUGGAGUGAGGUAGAGGGAAGUAGAAUUCCGCGUGUAGUGGUGAAAUGCGUAGAGAUGCGGAGGAAUACCAGUGGCGAAGGCGACUUCCUGGACCUUAACUGACGCUGAAGCGCGAAAGCAUGGGGAGCGAACGGGAUUAGAUACCCGCGUAGUCC
RNAcentral lists this ribosomal RNA (292 nucleotides) under uncultured bacterium. Its description in RNAcentral is "partial 16S ribosomal RNA". It matches the Rfam family "Bacterial small subunit ribosomal RNA", at positions 505 to 796 of the family's 1533-position model. The record is from RNAcentral.